UUAGGAAUCUUGCGCAAUGGGCGAAAGCCUGACGCAGCGACGCCGCGUGAGCGAAGAAGGCCUUCGGGUUGUAAAGCUCUGUCACCUGGGACGAAAUGUGCAACGGGGAAAGUUCGUUGCAUUUGACUGUACCAGGGGAGGAAGCACCGGCUAACUCCGUGCCAGCAGCCGCGGUAAUACGGAGGGUGCAAGCGUUGUUCGGAUUUAUUGGGCGUAAAGCGCGUGUAGGUGGUGGUGCAAGUCCGAUGUGAAAUCCUUGAGCUCAACUCGAGAACUGCAUCGGAUACUGCAUUACUAGAGUGUCGGAGAGGGUACCGGAAUUCCUGGUGUAGAGGUGAAAUUCGUAGAUAUCAGGAAGAACACCAGAGGCGAAGGCGGGUACCUGGACGAUAACUGACACUGAGACGCGAAAGCGUGGGGAGCAAACAGG
This 430-nucleotide ribosomal RNA is filed under the name uncultured bacterium. RNAcentral describes it as "bacterial SSU rRNA". It matches the Rfam family "Bacterial small subunit ribosomal RNA", at positions 355 to 776 of the family's 1533-position model. The record is from RNAcentral.